GAUGAAGAACGCAGCGAAAUGCGAUACGUAAUGUGAAUUGCAGAAUUCAGUGAAUCAUCGAAUCUUUGAACGCAUAUUGCGCUCUUUGGUAUUCCGAAGAGCAUGCUUGUUUGAGUAUCAGUAAACACCUCAAAGCUUUUGGAUUUUUUAAUCGAAAAGCUUUGGACUUGAGCAAUCCCAACACCAAUCUUUUUGAGAUCGGUGGCGGGUUGCUUGAAAUGCAGGUGCAGCUGGACAUUCUCCUGACCUAAAAGCAUAUUCAUUUAGUCCCGUCAAACGGAUUAUUACUUUUGCUGCAGCUAACAUAAAGGGAGUUUGACCGUAUUGGCUGACUGAUGCAGGAUUUCACAAGGGUCGGCAACGAUUCUUGUUAAACUCGAUCUCAAAUCAAGUAAGACUACCCGCUGAACUUAAGCAUAUCAAUAAGCGGAGGA
This 434-nucleotide unclassified non-coding RNA is filed under the name soil metagenome. Its description in RNAcentral is "partial contains 5.8S ribosomal RNA, internal transcribed spacer 2, and large subunit ribosomal RNA". The stretch from base 1 to 120 matches the Rfam family "5.8S ribosomal RNA", at positions 35 to 154 of the family's 154-position model. The record is from RNAcentral.